RNAcentral lists this ribosomal RNA (465 nucleotides) under Vreelandella stevensii. RNAcentral describes it as "partial 16S ribosomal RNA". It matches the Rfam family "Bacterial small subunit ribosomal RNA", at positions 338 to 795 of the family's 1533-position model. The record is from RNAcentral. Lineage: Bacteria; Pseudomonadati; Pseudomonadota; Gammaproteobacteria; Oceanospirillales; Halomonadaceae.
CCUACGGGUGGCAGCAGUGGGGAAUAUUGGACAAUGGGGGCAACCCUGAUCCAGCCAUGCCGCGUGUGUGAAGAAGGCCCUCGGGUUGUAAAGCACUUUCAGUGAGGAAGAACGCCUGGUGGUUAAUACCCAUCAGGAAAGACAUCACUCACAGAAGAAGCACCGGCUAACUCCGUGCCAGCAGCCGCGGUAAUACGGAGGGUGCGAGCGUUAAUCGGAAUUACUGGGCGUAAAGCGCGCAUAGGUGGCUUGAUAAGCCGGUUGUGAAAGCCCCGGGCUCAACCUGGGAACGGCAUCCGGAACUGUCAAGCUAGAGUGCAGGAGAGGAAGGUAGAAUUCCCGGUGUAGCGGUGAAAUGCGUAGAGAUCGGGAGGAAUACCAGUGGCGAAGGCGGCCUUCUGGACUGACACUGACACUGAGGUGCGAAAGCAUGGGUAGCAAACAGGAUUAGAUACCCUGGUAGUC